GGAGAGGCAGGCGGGAAGCCGCCCCCUCGGACCGUGCAGGUGCUCGGCCGGCCUCGGAGCUUGCCCUCUCGCUCUGGCUUGGUCCCCAGGUGUCGGGGACCCAUCACCCAGGGGCGGGGUCCCCAAGCCAGGGAGACUGGCGGAGUGGGUGGGGGCGAAGCCCAUUUAGAUUCAGACGGAAGCGGGUCCUUAGAGACUGCCGCGAGGAACAAAGGCGCCCCAGUGCUGCCCACUUAGCAUGCCAGGGCCGCGCCGCGUCGCUGGGCUCCCGGGGCCAGGGACGCUUCUGGGGCUGGGAGGGGGGCCCCGGCGCCCAGAAAUUCCUAAGACCAAGGCACCCCUGAGGCCACCGCCGCACACCAGCUUCAGUGCGCCCCCAUUAAGCCCUCGGGCACAGACCGCUGAGUCCAGGAAACUGUGACCGGCUUGGCUUUGAGUGAGACGCUCACCCCUGCCUGCCUUCUUGCCGUGGUGACUGUCAUUUGUCUUUACCUGAGGUCGUCGCGAAAAAGCCUUAUUUACACUGCCAAUCCGAGCCUUUAAAACAUUUUUAAAUAGUUUUAUCUUAGUAUCCUGGAGAAGUUAGGGCGCAGAGAACUUGGGUUGUUUCACCAGACACUAGGAUCCCUGUGAGAAGUCAGGGGCCUUUGGAGCGAGCCAUCAACACCACAGGUGCCCUGUGAAGAUUGCAUGGAAGAAUGCACGUCCCAGGUGAGCGCUGAGAAGAGCGAGAUGCCCCCUAGGCACAGACAAGUGUGCAGAAACAUCAGACUGUCUUAAAUCCCUCCAAAGAAGCAUUUUUUGAAGGUUAACAACUGCCCAGAAGCAUUGAUUGUGGAUCAAACCACCACCACCACCCCCUAAGUAAACAGUCUGAAAUGGAGCGGUUAGUCAUUGUUGAAUACAGAGUGGCUUUUACACAAUACUGUGGCUGCAUGCUAAUUAUGAGAGUUAGUAGACUGUGACCGUUAACAGAGGCUCAGAAAUUCCACUCAACCUUUAAACAACCUAGAACUCCUUUAAAUUCCAAAGGAAGCUGUUUGAGUUUGAAACAGAGAUUUGCAUUUUUUUUAAAAAUUAAGAUAGACCCAUUUGGGCCCAAAGCACAUGAUUCUGGGCACAGCACCCCUUGAAAUGGCCAGAGCUGUCCAGUGCUGACAAAUACCAGGGUCCCAGGGCCUGCCUUGUUAUUGUUGUUUGACUUGGUAGCAGAGAGCAGUCAUCCCAAUUCUGCCUCAUUUCCCUCUGAGUUCUAACACUAGAGACAAAGCCACUGAAUGGUAUACAAUAGUCUAAGCACUUUUAUUCAUCUUUUAACAUCAUUUUAAUACGUGGGUCAUUACAAAAGUUUUGAGAUACACAAAAAUCAGGAAAUGUAAAAUCCACACUGCUGGGAACAAAUGAAGCCCUCCCAGCCCUCCCAGCAACACCAUAAGCUGUCAACAUUUGCACAGGUGAAUCAGAAAGGAUGCUGUUGACUGUUUCUUGAAAGUGAAAUAAUGGAUCAUAACACAGUCUGUCUGAAAACUCUUAUAGCAAGAGAGCGGGAAGAGAAGCAUGGCCUUCCGCAGAAGUAGCAGAGUGGUAGGGCUGAGGAUGGGCUGCUGUGUAUAUGACCACAGGCUGCUACCUGCUCAUUAAGAUCCAGGAAGUUCAGCAUGGAGACUUGCGGGACACCCUGGAGACAGCAACCAGACACCUGGGAGAAAUUGUGUGCCCCACACUCUUGCUGGUCCAGAGUUUGACACUAUAAGGAAAAACACGGAUAUUGACAAAGAAAUUCAGAACAACUCUGAGCAUAACCAGUUUCCGGAAAAGCUGAACUCAUGUGGGCCUGAGACUGUUACGUGAUACAAAUCCAUGUUGAAUCAAAUCCAGAAGAGCUC
This is a long non-coding RNA of Nycticebus coucang (slow loris), 1886 nucleotides long. RefSeq lists it as uncharacterized. The record is from RefSeq and is a predicted model, not a curated record. NCBI's taxonomy places the organism in Eukaryota, Metazoa, Chordata, Mammalia, Primates, Lorisidae. The transcript is spliced from 3 exons.